This 113-nucleotide non-coding RNA is filed under the name Candidatus Nitrotoga fabula. RNAcentral's name for it is "ALIL". It matches the Rfam family "ALIL pseudoknot". The record is from RNAcentral. Lineage: Bacteria; Pseudomonadati; Pseudomonadota; Betaproteobacteria; Nitrosomonadales; Gallionellaceae.
CGCUUUUUUGCCCAGGAGCUCGACCGCAAACUCAAAUCCUGAGAGAUUUUAUCGACUGGCACCGCAACACCUUCGGGGUUGAGCCGAUCUGCAAGGCAUUGCAGAUCGCCCCG